UCUUCUUCAGGUGUGUUUGGUGUUGAAGAAAUUACAAUGUCUGUGAGAGAAGAAGAUGUUGUCACUCUACACACUGAUGUUAAGACAAAUCAUCGAGACCGAAUUAGAUGGUAUUAUAAAGACAUUCGCAUCGCUCAGAUCACUGGAGAUCUCAUUAAGACCUGUAAAGACGUUCAGUGUAAAGAGAGAUUCAGAGACAGACUGAAGCUGGACAAUCAGACUGGAUCUCUGACCAUCACAAGCAUGAUAACCUCUGAUGCUGGACUUUAUAAACUGAAGAUUUUAGGCAACCCCAGCAGUGAAAAGAUCUUCAAUGUUACUGUUCAUGGAGGAAAGGAAGGCCAGGCCCCUGAGGAGGAAGUAAGCCUGGGGACCAAGGUGGAGCAAGCAAUGUGGAACACCAUACUGGAGCCAACAGAGCUGGGGGCUAGAGUCAAGCCUGUAACCAGGAUGAAACUGGUAGUUCAGGGAACUUGGGUGAAGCCAGUAGGGCAGGGGCAAUGGCAGAGUAGAUGGAUCAGAAGACCACAAAGGUAAGGCAAUACUGGAGACCCCCAGAGCAGAUAUCCUACAGAUGUAUAUGUAAACCAACAAGUUGGAGCAGAAGGCAACCAAUAUGAAGCUAAUGGUGCAGGAUACCACCAAGGUGGAGUAGAAGGAGCAGGGGAUCACCAAGGCAGAGCAGGUGAAUACAUAGACCACUAAGACGGAGCAGAAAAGGUGGAGGUGAUGGUGCUGCAGACCAUGGUGGGACUGGCAGGGCUGAAGACUACAAUGGUGCUAACAGAUCCAAAGAUCUCAGCAGAGCUGGACACAGAGAUCUGUAGAAGAAGAAGAUCAAAUAAAGACAGUGCCAGUGAUGGAGAGGGAAACAGUGACUUUAUGUACUGGUGUAGAAAAUCAAGAUGAUGUGAAGAUAUGUCGUUUUAAUGAUACUUUCAUCGCUGGAAUCAAUGGAUAUCCAAAUAAGAUCUGUACAGAUGUACAGGGUAGUGAUGAGGGAUUCAGAGCCAGACUGAAACUGGACAAUCAGACUGGAUCACUGAUCAUCACAAACACCAGAUGCACAGAUUCUGGACUUUAUAAACUACAGAUCAACAGCAGCAGCUGCAGUAUUAUGAGGAGCUUCAAUGUUAUUGUCAAUGAUUCACAUUUAGAAACUCCAGCAAUGGAUCUAAUUGUACGUAGGAUAACAAUUUUUGGUGCAGUCAUACUGGUGCUGACCGUGGCUGUUGCGUUUGGAGUGAAACACUGUUCCACUGUCAGAAGAAGAAGUAAUUUAAAGAAGAUAAACAUGAAUUUGCUUUGAGGAACAUUAUUUUAACCUCUAAGGUGAAUCUAAUCUAGUCAUUCAUGACCACAAAUGUAGCUCGCACAGAAUAUUUAAAAUAGUAGUUCCUAUAAAUCACAGAGGUUUUUAUUUUUUUUAAGACCAUUACUAAUCUUACUUUUGAUAAAAAAAAAAAAA
Carassius auratus (goldfish) is the source of this 1468-nucleotide RNA transcript. RefSeq lists it as uncharacterized. The record is from RefSeq and is a predicted model, not a curated record. The transcript is spliced from 5 exons. Lineage: Eukaryota; Metazoa; Chordata; Actinopteri; Cypriniformes; Cyprinidae.